Molecule: non-coding RNA, 22 nt
Filed under: Arabidopsis thaliana (thale cress)
Lineage: Eukaryota; Viridiplantae; Streptophyta; Magnoliopsida; Brassicales; Brassicaceae
Source: RNAcentral
GAGAGGUAGUUGAAAAAGAGUU